This 485-nucleotide ribosomal RNA is filed under the name uncultured bacterium. RNAcentral describes it as "bacterial SSU rRNA". It matches the Rfam family "Bacterial small subunit ribosomal RNA", at positions 15 to 507 of the family's 1533-position model. The record is from RNAcentral.
GAUCCUGGCUCAGGAUGAACGCUAGCUACAGGCUUAACACAUGCAAGUCGAGGGGAAACGACAUCGAAAGCUUGCUUUUGAUGGGUGUCGACCGGCGGACGGGUGAGUAACGCGUGGGAAACCUGCCUUGUACCGGGGGAUAGCAGUUGGAAACGACUGAUAAUACCGCAUAAGCGCACAGUAUCACAUGAUACAGUGUGAAAAACUCCGGUGGUACAAGAUGGUCCCGCGUCUGAUUAGCUUGUUGGCGGGGUAAUGGCCCACCAAGGCGACGAUCAGUAGCCGACCUGAGAGGGUGACCGGCCACAUUGGGACUGAGACACGGCCCAAACUCCUACGGGAGGCAGCAGUGGGGAAUAUUGCACAAUGGAGGAAACUCUGAUGCAGCGACGCCGCGUGAGCGAUGAAGUAUUUCGGUAUGUAAAGCUCUAUCAGCAGGGAAGAUAAUGACGGUACCUGAGUAAGAAGCUCCGGCUAAAUACGUG